UGAAGAACAGGGUGAAGAAAUUAUAAGUCCAGGAGCUCGCCUGAAGAACAGGGUGAAGAAAAGAGAAAGCCCAGGAGACCACCUGAAGAAUAAGGUGAAGAAAUUGUAAGUCUAGGAGCCCACCUGAAGAACAUGGUGAAGAAAUUAUAAGUCCAGGAGCUCGCCUGAAGAACAGGGUGAAGAAAUUGUAAGUUCAAGAGCCCGCUUGAAGAACAGGGUGAAGAAAAAAUAAAGUUCAGGAGUCCGCCUGAAGAACAGGGUGAAGAAAUAGUAAGUCCAGGAGCCUGCCUGAAAAACAGGGUGAAGAAAUUGUAAGUCCAGGAGUUCGCCUGAAGAACAGGGUGAAGAAAAAGGAAGUCCAAGAGCCCGCCUAAAGAACAGGGUAAAGAAAAUCAAGUUCAGGAGUCCUUCUGAAGAACACGGCGAAGGAAAAGCAAGUCAGGAUCCAGCCUGAAGAAUGAGGUGAAUUUUCAAGUCCAAGCCGGAAGAAAAUCUGAAGAAUAAACCAAUUAUCAUGUUUCCCUUUAAUGCCAAAAGCCAACGAGGAGGAAUAUUUCGCAUAUCAAGUUCAACUCCAAAUAGUGACUAUCUCACCAUUUGAGAAGUCAUGAAGAUUCAAGUCAAGAUUCCAAAAAAGCAGCAUAGAUAGGAUCUUUCACUUGUAUCUUUAUUUUAUUUUUGUUAUUCAUUUGAAUGUAAAAGGUAGAAGUCGUUAACCGGAAACUCGACAGAAUCUCAUUCGACUUUUAACUCUUUCUCUCAUUAUGUUACCUUUGAACUACUUGUGACCUGAUUUUCUUAUAAUCCGGGAUAGGUAGGAUGUUCAAAACAAGGACUCGGUCAUAUUUUUCCUUUUAUUUUAAUUUAAGUUUAUUUUAUUCUUAAUUUUUAAAUAAUUGGAUGAUCAAAAAUCAUAUCUUGUUUACUUCUUUGUAUGAAAACUCUUCAAGAUUUCACACCAAGAGAGGCAAAAAUGUAGACACGUGAUUUUUUAUCUUCCUUAAAUUUUAAAUUGCUUAUCAAUAUUAAAAAUUUAUACUUAUAUUUAAUCUGAUAUAUUUUUAUUCUUAUUUUAUUUUCAUAAUUUUUAGUUUAAAUUUUAAAUAAAUAAGUUAAUAGUUUUAGUACUAUCUUAAUUCUAUUAUUUUUGGCUAUUUAUAAACUUUUAUUUUAUUUUCUUAAAUAUAAAAUUAAUUAGUUAUAUUUAUAUUUAUUAUUAUUAUCAUUCCAUUAUCUUAUUUAUUUAUUCAUUUACUUUUAUUUAUUAUUAUUAAAUUUUUAAAAAAAAGAGAAUAGAAUUUAUUUUUAAAUUUCAAAUUUUCUCCCUCUCCUUAUGUGAUGAUUAACCGUUCCUCAAAAAGUCCUUUUAUUUAAGGACUCUCACCCUAGCAAAACAAAGGCCGUACAUCUACACCUACAGAAAAGUCCUUUUAUUCAAGGACUCUCAUCCUAGAGAAACAAAGGCCGUACAUCUACUCCUAUAGACAUCAGACACUGAUAAAAACAAGAAUCGGACAAUGAAAAACAUCAAAAUCAGAGGGAAAAAAAAAAGGGAAUAAAGGGAAAAGUCAGAUAAAAAGAGAGAAAAGAGUGUAAAGUUGAAUUCGGAUUCCGUUUAAGUUUUUAGUGCCGAUUGUUUCUUGCAUUAUUAUUCAGUUCGAAUAAUUACAUGUUCUUUUUCAAUCUUGAACCAUUUUAUGUUGUAAGUUUACUGGACAAUAUGAACAAAAAAUAUUCUAAUAAUUUUAUGCGUUAUUCAAUCUGUAGUUGAACAAUUAUAUGAAUCGCUGUUAAUAUAUGUUAUGCAAUUGUGUUAUUUAAUAUUGAUACAUUUUCACAUUAAUAUGCACAAAUUUACUGUACACAUAUAGUGACACACAAUAGAGAAAAAAUUACAUUGAAAUAUCGAAAUACUUUCUGAUGUUUUUCCCUUUUAUCAUACAUUGUUAAAACAUACAACAUACACAUCUACACUUACAUAUACCCGCACAGUAAAAGAAACAGAAAAAUGAAAAGGAGAAAACCAGUGAAGAGGGAAAAGAUCGAGGAAAGGAAAAAAUCAGUGAUCGAGAGAGAUCGGUGAACGGAGGGAACCAACCGGCUAGUUUUGAGUUUUUCGGUGGAAAACCUGUCGGACUCAACGAAACCUUACCGGAAAAUACCUCAAUCGCCUCCGCUCUUCUCUCUUUCUCACGUCAUCGACUGGCGAAACCGGCGAAAUCAGCGCCGCCUCCCCUCCCUUCUUUCCCCUCUCCAGCGGUGGAUUUGGCCAGAACCGCCAUUUCUGGCGAAUCCAGCGCUGCCUACCCCCUUCCAUUUUCCCGUCGAAUCAGCUACCAAUGAUGAGAAGAAUCUCGUCUGAAAACUAUCACCCCGUCAAAACCAACCCAUUUUUUGGUCUAUUCAGGUCGAUUCUCGCCGAAAUCGUCACUGAUGGACCCCCUUUUGCUCCAGAUCCGGCGAGGAUCACCAGAUCCAACCUUGCCUCGCCGGAAAAUCCAUCAAAUUCGGCCACCGCCACUGGUUCCCCCAUCCUCUCUCUAUUUUUUCGUAAUUUUCGGCCCAACCAUGGCCAUCGUCGGAACAAAUAGCUCUGUCACUACCAACGUUGAAUUUAUGAAACUGAUAUGAAGUGAAUUUCUGUUUAUAUGCUUAAAUUUUAUGAAUUGUUUAUUUUAGGAUUUAUAUUUAAGUUGACUUACUUGAUUUGAUAUUAAUAAAAAUAUAUUAAUUUGAGAUUAUAAUAAAAAUUAGAAAUAAGGAUAAUUAGUUUUUUUUGGUGUGUAUAUUUAUAUUAUUAUUAUUAUUAUUAUUAUUAUUAUUAUUAUUAUUAUUAUUAUUAUUUUUAGUUUAUUUUAUUUUUAUUUUAUUUAUUUUAUUUUAUUUUUA
RNAcentral lists this long non-coding RNA (2889 nucleotides) under Capsicum annuum. RNAcentral's name for it is "long non-coding RNA (CANN_LNC000123)". The record is from RNAcentral. Lineage: Eukaryota; Viridiplantae; Streptophyta; Magnoliopsida; Solanales; Solanaceae.